Molecule: small nuclear RNA, 107 nt
Organism: Myotis lucifugus (little brown bat)
Lineage: Eukaryota; Metazoa; Chordata; Mammalia; Chiroptera; Vespertilionidae
Source: Ensembl
GUGCUCACUUCAGUAGCACAUAUACUAAAAUUGGAACGAUACAGAGAAGAUUAGCUUGGCCCCUGCACAAGGAUGACACACAAAUUUGUGAAGCAUUCCAUAUUUAA